UGUUCUAUCAGCAGUAUCUUCAUAGAGCUUUCCGUAUUUCUCUGUUCUAUCAACGACAUCUUCAUACCGCUUUCCGUACUUUUCUGUUCUAUCAGCAGCAUCUUCAUACCGCUUUCCGUACUUCUCUGUUCUAUCAGCAGCAUUUUCAUACCGCUUUCCGUACUUCUCGGUUCUAUCAGCAACAUCUUCAUACCGCUUUCCGUACUUCUCUGUUCUAUCAGCAGCAUCUUCAUACCUCUUCCCGUACUUCUCUGUUCUAUCAGCAGUAUCUUCAUAGCACUUUCCGUAUUUCUCUAUUCUAUCAGCAGCAUCUUCAUACCGCUUUCCG
This 328-nucleotide long non-coding RNA is filed under the name Manihot esculenta (cassava). RNAcentral's name for it is "long non-coding RNA (MESC_LNC003701)". Lineage: Eukaryota; Viridiplantae; Streptophyta; Magnoliopsida; Malpighiales; Euphorbiaceae. The record is from RNAcentral.